GGGUUGUGAGGUUAAGCGACUAAGCGUACACGGUGGAUGCCCUGGCAGUCAGAGGCGAUGAAGGGCGUGCUAAUCUGCGAUAAGCGCCGGUAAGGUGAUAUGAACCGUUAUAACCGGCGAUACCCGAAUGGGGAAACCCAGUGUGAUUCGUCACACUAUCAUUACGUGAAUACAUAGCGUAAUGAAGCGAACCGGGGGAACUGAAACAUCUAAGUACCCCGAGGAAAAGAAAUCAACCGAGAUUCCCCCAGUAGCGGCGAGCGAACGGGGAGGAGCCCAGAGCCUGAAUCAGCAUGUGUGUUAGUGGAAGCGUCUGGAAAGGCGCGCGAUACAGGGUGACAGCCCCGUACACAAAAGCGCAUGUGUUGUGAGCUCGAUGAGUAGGGCGGGACACGUGGUAUCCUGUCUGAAUAUGGGGGGACCAUCCUCCAAGGCUAAAUACUCCUGACUGACCGAUAGUGAACCAGUACCGUGAGGGAAAGGCGAAAAGAACCCCGGCGAGGGGAGUGAAAAAGAACCUGAAACCGUGUACGUACAAGCAGUGGGAGCACCCUUUGGGGUGUGACUGCGUACCUUUUGUAUAAUGGGUCAGCGACUUAUAUUCUGUAGCAAGGUUAACCGAAUAGGGGAGCCGGAGGGAAACCGAGUCUUAAUUGGGCGUUAAGUUGCAGGGUAUAGACCCGAAACCCGGUGAUCUAGCCAUGGGCAGGUUGAAGGUUGGGUAACACUAACUGGAGGACCGAACCGACUAAUGUUGAAAAAUUAGCGGAUGACCUGUGGCUGGGGGUGAAAGGCCAAUCAAACCGGGAGAUAGCUGGUUCUCCCCGAAAGCUAUUUAGGUAGCGCCUC
This 849-nucleotide ribosomal RNA is filed under the name Salmonella enterica. RNAcentral describes it as "partial 23S ribosomal RNA". It matches the Rfam family "Bacterial large subunit ribosomal RNA", at positions 1 to 883 of the family's 2925-position model. Lineage: Bacteria; Pseudomonadati; Pseudomonadota; Gammaproteobacteria; Enterobacterales; Enterobacteriaceae. The record is from RNAcentral.